AGCGAACGCUGGCGGCAGGCCUAACACAUGCAAGUCGAGCGCCCGUAGCAAUACGGGAGCGGCAGACGGGAGAGUAACACGUGGGAACGUACCCUUUGGUUCGGAACAACACAGGGAAACUUGUGCUAAUACCGGAUAAGCCCUUACGGGGAAAGAUUUAUCGCCAAAGGAUCGGCCCGCGUCUGAUUAGCUAGUUGGUGGGGUAACGGCGCACCAAGGCGACGACGGGUAGCUGGUCUGAGAGGAUGGCCAGCCACAUUGGGACUGAGAGACGGCCCAGACUCCUACGGGAGGCAGCAGUGGGGAAUCUUGCGCAAUGGCCAAAAGGCUGACGCAGCGACGCCGCGUGGA
This 351-nucleotide ribosomal RNA is filed under the name uncultured bacterium. Its description in RNAcentral is "bacterial SSU rRNA". It matches the Rfam family "Bacterial small subunit ribosomal RNA", at positions 29 to 405 of the family's 1533-position model. The record is from RNAcentral.